Non-coding RNA from Paramuricea clavata, 282 nucleotides. The record is from the annotation of a GenBank genome assembly. Lineage: Eukaryota; Metazoa; Cnidaria; Anthozoa; Malacalcyonacea; Plexauridae.
UUUCGAAAAUAUCCAUUUAGUGUUUCGUAGAAUUGUUAAUAAACUUAUUAAAAAUCUUUAGUCAAUCUCUAAAAAUCUAAAAUCUCUAGAGUCCACUCGGCUCAGUCUUUCGCGCGAUCUAUCUAUUGUGCAGUCUGUUUGCAUGUCUGUCAAUUUUGCUUCUAGUACGUUUGUAAAAUGUACUGUUCAGUUGGAGUCAGUUGGGAAGUGCAUGAAGCAUUUCUCAACAAAGUACAGAUCAUUAUACCAGAAAGCUUCGGAUUGAUAGGUCUUUAACUUAUU